This 259-nucleotide ribosomal RNA is filed under the name uncultured Pseudomonas sp. RNAcentral's name for it is "partial 16S ribosomal RNA". It matches the Rfam family "Bacterial small subunit ribosomal RNA", at positions 1125 to 1382 of the family's 1533-position model. The record is from RNAcentral. Lineage: Bacteria; Pseudomonadati; Pseudomonadota; Gammaproteobacteria; Pseudomonadales; Pseudomonadaceae.
UUAUGGUGGGCGACUCUAAGGAGACUGCCGGUGGACAAACCGGAGGAAGGUGGGGAUGACGUCAAGUCAUCAUGGCCCUUACGGCCUGGGCUACACACGUGCUACAAUGGUCGGUACAAAGGGUUGCCAAGCCGCGAGGUGGAGCUAAUCCCAUAAAACCGAUCGUAGUCCGGAUCGCAGUCUGCAACUCGACUGCGUGAAGUCGGAAUCGCUAGUAAUCGUGAAUCAGAAUGUCACGGUGAAUACGUUCCCGGGCCUU